GACGUAGGGCGCGAGCGUUGUCCGGAUUUAUUGGGCGUAAAGAGCUCGUAGGCGGCUUGUUGCGUCGGCUGUGAAAACCCGGGGCUCAACCCCGGGCCUGCAUUCGAUACGGGCAGACUAGAGUUCGGUAGGGGAGUCUGGAAUUCCUGGUGUAGCGGUGAAAUGCGCAGAUAUCAGGAGGAACACCGGUGGCGAAGGCGGGUCUCUGGGCAAUAACUGACGCUGAGGAGCGAAGGCGUGGGGAGCGAACAGG
RNAcentral lists this ribosomal RNA (253 nucleotides) under uncultured bacterium. RNAcentral's name for it is "partial 16S ribosomal RNA". It matches the Rfam family "Bacterial small subunit ribosomal RNA", at positions 524 to 776 of the family's 1533-position model. The record is from RNAcentral.